This 101-nucleotide ribosomal RNA is filed under the name Lepisosteus oculatus (spotted gar). Lineage: Eukaryota; Metazoa; Chordata; Actinopteri; Semionotiformes; Lepisosteidae. The record is from RNAcentral.
GCCAGCAGCCAUAUCACCCUGCAACUGAAGCUAAGCAGGUGUGAGCCUGGUCAGUACCUGGAUGAGAGACCUCCUGUGAAAAACUAAGGUUGCUGCUGGAA